CGCCCAGACUCCUACGGGAGGCAGCAGUGGGGAAUAUUGGGCAAUGGGCGCAAGCCUGACCCAGCAACGCCGCGUGAAGGAAGAAGGCUUUCGGGUUGUAAACUUCUUUUAAGAGGGAAGAGCAGAAGACGGUUCCUCUUGAAUAAGCCACGGCUAACUACGUGCCAGCAGCCGCGGUAAUACGUAGGUGGCAAGCGUUGUCCGGAUUUACUGGGUGUAAAGGGCGUGUAGCCGGGCUGACAAGUCAGAUGUGAAAUUCCGGGGCUCAACCCCGGACCUGCAUUUGAAACUGUUGGUCUUGAGUACCGGAGAGGCAGGCGGAAUUCCUAGUGUAGCGGUGAAAUGCGUAGAUAUUAGGAGGAACACCAGUGGCGAAGGCGGCCUGCUGGACGACAACUGACGGUGAGGCGCGAAAGCAUGGGGAGCGAACAGGAUUAGAUACCCGCGUA
This 449-nucleotide ribosomal RNA is filed under the name uncultured bacterium. RNAcentral describes it as "bacterial SSU rRNA". It matches the Rfam family "Bacterial small subunit ribosomal RNA", at positions 328 to 792 of the family's 1533-position model. The record is from RNAcentral.